RNAcentral lists this ribosomal RNA (892 nucleotides) under Scolecobasidium macrozamiae. RNAcentral's name for it is "eukaryotic LSU rRNA". It matches the Rfam family "Eukaryotic large subunit ribosomal RNA", at positions 46 to 955 of the family's 3401-position model. The record is from RNAcentral. Lineage: Eukaryota; Fungi; Ascomycota; Dothideomycetes; Venturiales; Sympoventuriaceae.
AUAAGCGGAGGAAAAGAAACCAACCGGGAUUGCCCUAGUAACGGCGAGUGAAGCGGCAACAGCUCAAAUUUGAAAUCUGGGGUCUUGCGGCCUCCGAGUUGUAGUUUGCAGAGGGAGCCUCGGAGGGCUUGUCGGUCCAAGUGCCUUGGAACAGGAUACCGCAGAGGGUGAGAGUCCCGUAUCCGGCCGACGUAGCGCUCCGUGUGAGGCCUCUUCGACGAGUCGAGUUGUUUGGGAAUGCAGCUCCAAGCGGGUGGUAAAUUCCAUCUAAAGCUAAAUACUGGCCAGAGACCGAUAGCGAACAAGUAGAGUGAUCGAAAGAUGAAAAGCACUUUGAAAAGAGAGUCAAACAGUACGUGAAAUUGUUGAAAGGGAAGCGCAUGGGGGCAGACUUGGCCGUGGGGUUCAGGGUGUCCUUUUUGGCGCCUGUAUUUCCCCGCGGACAGGCCAGCAUCGGUUCUGGGGGCCGGACAAAGGCGACGGGAACGUGGCUCUCCUCGGAGAGUGUUAUAGCCCGACGUGCAAUGCGGCCACCUGGGACCGAGGACCGCGCCUUGUGCAAGGAUGCUGGCGUAAUGGCCUCAUGCGGCCCGUCUUGAAACACGGACCAAGGAGUCUAACAUCUAUGCGAGUGUUUGGGUUUGAAGCCCGGACGCGCAAUGAAAGUGAACGGAGGUGGGAGCAUUCGUGCGCACCAUCGACCGAUCCGGACGUUUUCUGAAGGAUUUGAGUAAGAGCAUAGCUGUUGGGACCCGAAAGAUGGUGAACUAUGCGUGAAUAGGGUGAAGCCAGAGGAAACUCUGGUGGAGGCUCGCAGCGGUUCUGACGUGCAAAUCGAUCGUCAAAUUUGCGUAUAGGGGCGAAAGACUAAUCGAACCAUCUAGUAGCUGGU